GUGUAAUUUUGUUGCCAAUGGUCUUUGGAUCUAAUGGCAUCUCCUCUUCCCAUUAAGAAGUCUGGAAAAGAGGGGGAAAGAAAGAGAAGAAGAAGAAAAAGAAUAUCUUAAUGGGUUCUUGCAAGCGAGCAGCUAUUUGUAGGAAAUUAUGGAGGCAGGUAGCAGGCUAGCAGCAAUAAAAGACAAGGAGAAAAAUGGUCAUACUGACUUAAUAUUGAAAUGGCUUUAAGUAGCUUAAGGCAGGCAUUGCCCAUGCCCAGUCAUAUUUCUCUAUAUGGUGACAUCCUCUGAAGACCAUGAAUGCACUGCACGCACACUUGCAGUUGGUUAAGUUUUAGUAGACGGAUAUGGCAGGAAUUGAUGUCUAUUUGUCUCAUUCCGAAUCCUCCUGUUGACUGGGAAGAGGUGAUCCGGUGGUUUGUUCAAGAUUUGCAAGGGACAAGCUUGAAAGCUAAUGCUUGCAGGUUUAGUCUUGCUGCAGUUGUGUACCACCUUUGGUGGCAGAGAAAUGCCCUUCUGCAUGGCAACACCCCUAGAACGGAGGAAGAUAUAGUGAGCCAAGUCAAAAGGCAAGUUGGGUCUAGGCUAAGGGUUCAAAGCAAAGUAUUGGAAAGAAUCUUGCUCUUGCUUAUAACUGGAAUCUACAGAGUCUCAUUGGUUAUUAGUUUCUUGGGACUGGUUUGGUGUUUGGAACAGCAAUUGUUUUCCUGCUGUUUUGCUAUUUUGAGGGGUUUUGUCCCUGUUUUCAUUGUGCAGCAGGUGUUUAUGUGUUUUGUUGUUCUUAGUUAGGGGGUCUGUCCCUAACUAGUUGGUUUUUCAUCCAGAUUUUCUCUGUAGUGUACUUUUGGAGUGUUUGGUUAUAAAUGUUUAGUUCAUCCAAAAAAAAAACAAAAGAAAA
Alnus glutinosa is the source of this 898-nucleotide long non-coding RNA. RefSeq lists it as uncharacterized. The record is from RefSeq and is a predicted model, not a curated record. The transcript has 3 exons. NCBI's taxonomy places the organism in Eukaryota, Viridiplantae, Streptophyta, Magnoliopsida, Fagales, Betulaceae.